ACGGGAGCAGCAGUGGGGGAUAUUGCACAAUGGGGGAAACCCUGAUGCAGCGACGCCGCGUGGGUGAUGAAGUAUUUCGGUAUGUAAAGCUCUAUCAGCAGGGAAGAAAAUGACGGUACCUGACUAAGAAGCACCGGCUAAAUACGUGCCAGCAGCCGCGGUAAUACGUAUGGUGCAAGCGUUAUCCGGAUUUACUGGGUGUAAAGGGAGCGCAGACGGCAUAGCAAGCCAGAUGUGAAAGGUGGGGGCUCAACCCCCAAGCUGCAUUUGGAACUGUUAAGCUAGAGUAUCGGAGAGGUAAGUGGAAUUCCUAGUGUAGCGGUGAAAUGCGUAGAUAUUAGGAGGAACACCAGUGGCGAAGGCGGCUUACUGGACGAUAACUGACGUUGAGGCUCGAAAGCGUGGGGAGCAAACAGGAUUAGAUACCCUGGUA
Molecule: ribosomal RNA, 433 nt
Filed under: uncultured Lachnospiraceae bacterium
Lineage: Bacteria; Bacillati; Bacillota; Clostridia; Lachnospirales; Lachnospiraceae
Description: partial 16S ribosomal RNA
Rfam family: Bacterial small subunit ribosomal RNA
Source: RNAcentral